GCUGUGCCCAGCUGACUAAUGACUAAUUCAUGUUAUUUGUUGAGUUAACAGGUGGAAUGGAUCAAAUCAAUGAUCAGCACCAUCCAUUUCUCUCACAUGCUGAGGUACCUGAUUGGCUUUCAUAUGCCAUACAUCAUCGUUAAAGGCAAUCUGACACCGAGGGACACUGACCGCAACCCCUGGUUGGUGUCUGUCUCUGGGUUAAAGGUGCAUGACCGGGAGCAGUUGGCGCGCUUCAAGGCUCUUGGACAGACAGACAACUACACGGUGCUGUUCCCUCAGCAUCCCUGUGUCAUCCUGUCAGCGUUGGACGUGCUCGGGUUCCACGUGGUAACAUCGUGUCCGGGCGUCUCGGAGGACGGCACCAGCUACGUGUGGACGCUCAAGAAGGAUCUGCCGUCGCCAGACGAGACCGAGGACAGCGACAACUGAGGGGCAGGCUCCAAAAUGCCAGAAGUCAAACAUUACAUCGCCGUCAAGGGCUCCCUCUUCGCCACCGAGACGUACAUCUUUGGCAUCAACGAUAGCCAUUUCCAGGAGGAGGCAUUGAAGCUGGGCGUCACGGACCUGACCGUCUCGCCCUGCGUCAACGGCGUGAUCCUCAACCGCGACCCCAUGUACGUCGUCAACCUGGUGUCGCGCUUCGGCUAUGAGGUGAUUGCGGCCUCCGGGGGCCAGGAGUGCAUGUGGACAAUGCGACGCACCAUCGAGGUGUAGUGCCGCCGUCGGCCGUCGCGCGGCGCCACCUGUCGAGCGCGAUGUCAGCUGUGCCAUGUGCGGCGUGCGGUGAUGCGCCGCGGGGGCUUCAGUGCUGCUGCUGCUUUUAGAUGUAGUCCUCUGGCUGGGAGCCGCUGUUUGUGCCGUGGCGCUCCCGAGCGAAGGAGAUGCUCCGCAGCACCCCUGUACUCCUUGCGCGCGCGGUCAGAUCCAGGCAGUGGAACUGGCGUCUCGGUCAGUGCCGCUAAGAAUGGUUCACCGCUAUGGGCCCAAACGAUGAAAUUCGCUCCCCACUGACGUUGGUUCCUCGUUAUCACCGCCCUCGCGCCGCCAGACCGUGCCGACCCUACUGUAGGAACCCUGGGCCAUUUGUUCGGAGCCGUCAUCUUCCUUGCGCCUCCAGAGCGAACCGCGGAACUGUAACAACCGCCAGUCGGCCAGCCGUCAGUGACGUGAAAUGUCAAAAAAGCGGGUGACGUCAAACCGUUACCCGCUUCUUUUAGUUUCGCUUUCUUAGAAUUAGGACUUGCUAAGGCAGCCCAAGGCUGUGUAGAUGUGCUGCAUGCGUCGGCAUUUGACAUGACCCCCGGGCCGUCGUACUUCCGUGGUCACGUUGCGUGGCGUUCUCUUCCGCGGGUGGUAGCUGUCUGCGACCUUUUUGCAGUGUUCCGCGUGUCCCGCGCGGUGGUGAUGUCGAGAUGCCACGAACACCGCCGUGCCCGCCCUGCAGCGCGUCACCGGUGUGUGCCAUAUUCAUGAACGCUGGUGCCGCUCUUCGGCUGUGCUUCCUGCCGACAGUGCGUGCCAUCUCACGCUUGCCCUCUGGGCCCCUCCAAUACACUAUACACUCAGCA
RNAcentral lists this unclassified non-coding RNA (1571 nucleotides) under Pollicipes pollicipes. RNAcentral describes it as "uncharacterized LOC119096414, transcript variant X3". Lineage: Eukaryota; Metazoa; Arthropoda; Thecostraca; Pollicipedomorpha; Pollicipedidae. The record is from RNAcentral.